This 143-nucleotide ribosomal RNA is filed under the name Cladophialophora sp. Its description in RNAcentral is "partial large subunit ribosomal RNA". Lineage: Eukaryota; Fungi; Ascomycota; Eurotiomycetes; Chaetothyriales; Herpotrichiellaceae. The record is from RNAcentral.
AGGCCAGCAUCGGUUUCGAGGGUCGGUCAAAGGCUCCGGGAAUGUAUCUACCCACGGGUAGACUUAUAGACCGGGGUGUCAUGCGACCUCUCGGGGCCGAGGAACGCGCUUCGGCUCGGAUGUUGGCGUAAUGGUUGUCAGCG